GUGUGUGUGUGUGUGCAUAUGUAUAAUUGUGUAUAUAUGUGCACAUAUGUGUUGUUUGUAUGCGUAUGUAUGGGUGCCUGUGGAUGCAUAUGUGCAUGUGUUUGGGUAUAUGUAUGUGUGUAUGC
Molecule: microRNA precursor, 125 nt
Filed under: Mus pahari (shrew mouse)
Lineage: Eukaryota; Metazoa; Chordata; Mammalia; Rodentia; Muridae
Description: miRNA (MGP_PahariEiJ_G0007758.1)
Source: RNAcentral